GACGAACGCUGGCGGCGUGCUUAACACAUGCAAGUCGAACGGAAAGGCCCUGCUUUUGUGGGGUGCUCGAGUGGCGAACGGGUGAGUAACACGUGAGUAACCUGCCCUUGACUUUGGGAUAACUUCAGGAAACUGGGGCUAAUACCGGAUAGGAGCUCCUGCUGCAUGGUGGGGGUUGGAAAGUUUCGGCGGUUGGGGAUGGACUCGCGGCUUAUCAGCUUGUUGGUGGGGUAGUGGCUUACCAAGGCUUUGACGGGUAGCCGGCCUGAGAGGGUGACCGGCCACAUUGGGACUGAGAUACGGCCCAGACUCCUACGGGAGGCAGCAGUGGGGAAUAUUGCACAAUGGGCGGAAGCCUGAUGUAGCAACGCCGCGUGCGGGAUGACGGCCUUCGGGUUGUAAACCGCUUUCGCCUGUGACGAAGCGUGAGUGACGGUAAUGGGUAAGGAAGCACCGGCUAACUACGUG
Molecule: ribosomal RNA, 468 nt
Filed under: uncultured bacterium
Lineage: Bacteria
Description: partial 16S ribosomal RNA
Rfam family: Bacterial small subunit ribosomal RNA
Source: RNAcentral